Molecule: non-coding RNA, 544 nt
Filed under: Triglochin maritima
Lineage: Eukaryota; Viridiplantae; Streptophyta; Magnoliopsida; Alismatales; Juncaginaceae
Source: RNAcentral
UGAUAUAACUUAGUCAUUAAAUGCAAGUCUGGCCAUAAACUUAUAUCUAUACCAAUUUGCUUGUUUCAGAAAUAUUUUUUUGCACCUUGGUUAGUUUUGUAAUUGAAGUAUUAAACAACUAUUGCAGUUUUUGACCUUGGAGCCGCCUAUGGUUAUGGGUGCAGUACAGCCUGUUCGCCUAGUCUUUUUCUCUGAAGUAAUUUGAAGGGAAUACAUUGUUGUGGUGAUAGCACAGAAAGAGGUUAGAAAAGAUACCGAUGGUUUUCUUGCAAGUCAUUUAGCUGUUGUCUCAAGCUCGCAGCCUCAUGUUGCCAAAGCUGAGAGUAGGUAAACAAUGCAGAUAAGUUCUGAUUUCAUUUUCAGCUACAGAUUCAGAAGGUAGAAAACAAACGAAAUAUGUAAAUUUUGUGCAGUUUUGCGUCAUUGUUUUUGUCCACCUGUGGGGCAUUCGUUGUUGACGAUGAAAGUUAUGUUUCAAUUUCAUUCUGACAAAUAAUGUGCGUCAAGCAGUUGAUAAUAUCAAAUAUGAAUGGUGUUGUUCGCU